Molecule: ribosomal RNA, 374 nt
Filed under: uncultured organism
Description: partial 16S ribosomal RNA
Rfam family: Bacterial small subunit ribosomal RNA
Source: RNAcentral
GUAGGUGGCAAGCGUUGUCCGGAAUUAUUGGGCGUAAAGCGCGCGCAGGCGGUUUUUUAAGUCUGAUGUGAAAGCCCACGGCUCAACCGUGGAGGGUCAUUGGAAACUGGAGAACUUGAGUACAGAAGAGGAAAGCGGAAUUCCACGUGUAGCGGUGAAAUGCGUAGAGAUGUGGAGGAACACCAGUGGCGAAGGCGGCUUUCUGGUCUGUAACUGACGCUGAGGCGCGAAAGCGUGGGGAGCAAACAGGGGGUUAGAUACCUGGUAGUCCACGCCGUAAACGAUGAGUGCUAAGUGUUAGGGGGUUUCCCGCCCCUUAGUGCUGCAGCUAACGCAUUAAGCACUCCGCCUGGGGGAGUACGGCCGCAAGGCUG